UCCAAUCCGCUCCGCGUGCUCGCACCGUACCCAAUCCCAUCCUCUCCCCUGGUCGUCCCGAUCCACACCAGCCGCCGCACAACCCUAGCCCCUUUCCCCUCGAUCCCCACAGCCCCUCCCUCCUCCUCACUCUCCGCCAUGGCCUCUGCACUAGGAGCCUCUCCAUGGCCUCCUACCCAUCCCCCCCACCACCAUAGGUGCACACAGACGGUGGAUCCGUGCCGGAGAAGAGCAGCUCCAGUUAUGGUGGGGUGCAUCUAUGCCGAAGAUGAAGGAGGUCCGCCGCCCGUCUUUGCCUCCUCGCUGCGUCCUUGUUGCUCCUCCUCCUCUCUCUCUCCGCACCUAGCAGUGCAGCAGCCAGGCCAAGGGGAAGGAGCAGCCCGACCCGGCUCCAUCUCUCUCCUUCAUGCAGGAGAACUGGAUGAGCAGGUGGCGAGGGAAGCCGCCACGGCUAGCGGCGGCGCUGCACAGGAACGUCCACCUCCAGGUCUCCAUCCUGUCUCAUGAUCCCUUUCCGUUUCAGUGUUGUUCUUUUUUCUCUUGGCCCGAUCUGCUCACAGUUUUGAGGCUUCGUGUUGUAGGGACCAGAUCUUGGAUAUGAUCUAUGCUGCUGAUUUGGCUAUCAACUGCUAAAUCUAUGAAUCAUUCAAAAUGUUUUGCCUAACUGCACAAGCCUUGCAUAUGACCACUGGGCCAUGUCUUUUGUGAGCCCCCAUAAUUCUUUUGUUCUAUUGAUGUUUUGCCUAACUGCACAAGCCUUGCAUAUGACCACUGGGCCAUGUCUUUUGUGAGCCCCCAUAAUUCUUUUGUUGUAUUGAUGUAGUGGAGUUCAGUAGAUUAGUAAAAGGGUCUUUUGAUUUUGUUGAGUUCAAUAGAUUAGUAAAGGGUCUUUUGAUUUUGUUGGCCAUAUAGGAUUUUACUACUGCUAUGGACAAAAGAAGGCUAAAGCUGGGAAAGACAACAAUGUCAGGAGCCAACCGAGGUAAAGAAACCUAAGUUGACAAGCAGGGCGUACUCCCCUCUGCAGUUAUUUUUCUCUGCUAUUCAUUGAGCAUAUCAGGAGAUUGAUAGACAGUGUGAGAACUGAUCCAAAAUGCCGAGAAGCAGGGUUUAUUUUCCCUCAUCACCAUAACAAAGGGGAGACUCCAGGGAGAGAGAGGAAAGCUGCGCAAGUGCCCCUGGAAGCGAGGAAGCUCGGCGCCGUCGCGGAAGAGGAGCUACACUUCCAUGGAGUAGAGCGACGAGGGGCUCCGGCAUCGCUGCAGAGGAGGGAGGAGAUCCACUGCCACUGCACCUGACAAUUCGACAAGAACCUCUCUGGAUGAUUUUGUCAAUUCGGGUGUUAUGCAUUUUUUAAAGUGUUGUGCAAUGGCAGAAAUUGGCAAGAGGACACCUCAAGUUGGUAUGAGGUUCAUAGAUUCGGAUGAGGCUUGGGUGUUUUGGGUAGAAUAUGGUGAGGAAAAGAUGCAAGUUUGAUGCAAAAGUGACUUCACACAGAUUUGUGUGUUCCAAUGAGGGCAUUAGAAGGAAAGCGCAAACUGAUCGUGAGCCAAAGCGCAAACCCUGUAUAUGUACUGAUUUUAUUUUAGCCUAUCUCUGCUCAUGUGUGCAUCUGGUUCACUCUUUGGAUUAAACUAUAGCCAAGUGUACAACUAUACUUGCCUAAUAUAUCCAGUGUUUAGUGUCAAAAUUGUCCAGUUUGAAAAGGUUCCAUUACUUUACUAGCAUUGUUUCUUCUGUAUUCACUAAUCCUGCAAGUGUAGGCUGAGAACUAUACAAUUUGGACAGGUUCCAGUGUUGUGUUGCUGCCGUACAUAAUAUGCAAUUUGGACAGUUUCUUGUGUUUU
RNA transcript from Triticum dicoccoides, 1847 nucleotides. RefSeq lists it as uncharacterized. The transcript is spliced from 4 exons. NCBI's taxonomy places the organism in Eukaryota, Viridiplantae, Streptophyta, Magnoliopsida, Poales, Poaceae. The record is from RefSeq and is a predicted model, not a curated record.